Molecule: ribosomal RNA, 468 nt
Filed under: uncultured bacterium
Lineage: Bacteria
Description: partial 16S ribosomal RNA
Rfam family: Bacterial small subunit ribosomal RNA
Source: RNAcentral
GACGAACGCUGGCGGCGUGCUUAACACAUGCAAGUCGAACGGAAAGGCCCUGCUUUUGUGGGGUGCUCGAGUGGCGAACGGGUGAGUAACACGUGAGUAACCUGCCCUUGACUUUGGGAUAACUUCAGGAAACUGGGGCUAAUACCGGAUAGGAGCUCCUGCUGCAUGGUGGGGGUUGGAAAGUUUCGGCGGUUGGGGAUGGACUCGCGGCUUAUCAGCUUGUUGGUGGGGUAGUGGCUUACCAAGGCUUUGACGGGUAGCCGGCCUGAGAGGGUGACCGGCCACAUUGGGACUAAGAUACGGCCCAGACUCCUACGGGAGGCAGCAGUGGGGAAUAUUGCACGAUGGGCGGACGCCUGAUGCAGCAACGCCGCGUGCGGGAUGACGGCCUUCGGGUUGUAAACCGCUUUCGCCUGUGACGAAGCGUGAGUGACGGUAAUGGGUAAAGAAGCACCGGCUAACUACGUG